UUGGAAUUCCUGGUGUAGCGGUGGAAUGCGCAGAUAUCAGGAGGAACACCGAUGGCGAAGGCAGAUCUCUGGGCCGUAACUGACGCUGAGGAGCGAAAGGGUGGGGAGCAAACAGGCUUAGAUACCCUGGUAGUCCACCCCGUAAACGUUGGGAACUAGUUGUGGGGUCCAUUCCACGGAUUCCGUGACGCAGCUAACGCAUUAAGUUCCCCGCCUGGGGAGUACGGCCGCAAGGCUAAAACUCAAAGGAAUUGACGGGGACCCGCACAAGCGGCGGAGCAUGCGGAUUAAUUCGAUGCAACGCGAAGAACCUUACCAAGGCUUGACAUAUACGAGAACGGGCCAGAAAUGGUCAACUCUUUGGACACUCGUAAACAGGUGGUGCAUGGUUGUCGUCAGCUCGUGUCGUGAGAUGUUGGGUUAAGUCCCGCAACGAGCGCAACCCUCGUUCUAUGUUGCCAGCACGUAAUGGUGGGAACUCAUGGGAUACUGCCGGGGUCAACUCGGAGGAAGGUGGGGAUGACGUCAAAUCAUCAUGCCCCUUAUGUCUUGGGCUUCACGCAUGCUACAAUGGCCGGUACAAAGGGCUGCAAUACCGUGAGGUGGAGCGAAUCCCAAAAAGCCGGUCCCAGUUCGGAUUGAGGUCUGCAACUCGACCUCAUGAAGUAGGAGUCGCUAGUAAUCGCAGAUCAGCAACGCUGCGGUGAAUACGUUCCCGGGUCUUGUACACACCGCCCGUCAAGUCAUGAAAGUCGGUAACACCUGAAGCCGGUGGCCUAACCCUGUGGAGGGAGCCGUCGUAGAAGAUGACGAGCCCGCCC
RNAcentral lists this ribosomal RNA (821 nucleotides) under Microbacterium sp. WS_7LB. RNAcentral's name for it is "bacterial SSU rRNA". It matches the Rfam family "Bacterial small subunit ribosomal RNA", at positions 661 to 1476 of the family's 1533-position model. Lineage: Bacteria; Bacillati; Actinomycetota; Actinomycetes; Micrococcales; Microbacteriaceae. The record is from RNAcentral.